AUGUCCUAGCAAAAAUAGCAACUAAUAAUUUUGUUAAAUUUUAAUCUGAUGCUUAAAUUGUUAUUUGAAUGUAGGUAUUGUUGUUCUAUUAAUAGAAUAGAGGUCCGCCUUCCCCUUCCACAUGAAUUCAACGGUGAGUUCCUAAUUUCAGUCAGUUUGUAAUACAUUCUACUAAUAGAGUGUUUCAAUCAUUUAGUAAAUAGUCUAUCAAUUCGAUUCUGCCCUAGUCUAUAAUAUCACAAUGCAAUGCCUUAUUAAAGAAAAAAAAUCAAACAACUAUAAACCAUCUACCUUUCUAUUUCAAAAAACUCCCUAAAAUUUAACCAGUACAAAACAAUUAAGGAAAAUCUACAACCAAUGCUUUGUUUUUGAUUGAUGCUCAAAAUUUCCGCUCCUGCGUCAUGACAAAAAGUAACAUCUUUUUGUCUUUACACAAUGCAAUGCAAUCAAUUCUUAUAAAUAAAAAUCCUUUUCCCACUUGUCAACUUCUUAGGUGUUUUGACAAAUGUCAUUUUCUCAUAUUUUUCAAAAUUUUCCUUCUACCUUCUAAAAUUGACAUGUGUAUUUUUUUUUUAAAAACAAAUAUGAUUCUCUGUGGCGCGUAAUAUGGGCUUUAUUUGAGGUCCCACAUAUCAGCAACCAAUUGAAUCUAUAACGUGUUUUCUCAAAUCAAUUGCCUUAUUUUCCUCAGACCAUUGUUGCAUUCCAAAUUCACAUCCCAUACAACAUACUUUCUGUAUCCAUUUUACUCUCACAACAUUUUUUCUUCAAUUUAGUAAACAGGAGAAUUGCUUUCAUAUUAACUCUCCCGUAAAUCAUCUCCUCAAUUUGAAUUUGAAUUUUUAAUGAAGUAAAUUGAUAGAGUUCCCAUAUAUAGGCUCUAUUUUCGAGUCGUUAAUCUCUGUUGAUACGUGAGAUCCCAAUUUUUGUGGAACAAAAUGAAUUCCAUAUUGAAAUCACUCUAUAAAUUCGAUUACUGUUCUGGCUAUUAUUCACACCUUGGUUUUCUUCUUCAAUUCAUUUGUCAUCCAGGUUUCUUCUUUAAUCUGAUGUUCUUAAUUUUUAUUAAUUGUAUUCGAUUUUUUAUUAUCAUGAAUGUGUGGUGUAUCUGAUUGCCUUCUUAACCUUGCAUUUGAUGUUGCACUCUAUGUGUUUGAUAAAAUGCCCAUGAGAUAUGUCUUAUCAAAUACUAUUACACACUAUUGUCUGUAUUUUUGUGCUACUUACCACAUGUGUGUGUGUGUGUGUGUUUGUGAUUCCUAACUUUCCUGCAUUUUGUUUGGGUUAAAUCAUAAACUUGGUUAGCUUACUCAUCCGGGAAGAAAAGGAAGAUCAACUAUUUCAUAAAAAAAAGUAGUUGAUAUCUUGGAUAUUGUAUCUAUAUCAGCAUGUCUAUUUUUGAGCAAACCAUGGGUUUUCACUCUCAUUUAGUUUCUUUAUGCUAUAGUUAUAUGGUAAGAAAAGUGAUUAUGCUAAUAUUAACAUGUUGGUUGUUUGUGUGAUAGCUUGAACUUAUCUUUGGUAGGUAUUAUAUGUCAACUGAACCAAAUGUAGUGAAGGAUUGGGCUGUAUUUUAAGUCUUAAAGGAAUUUUCAGCCCUUUUUCUUUUUUGAACAGUUGUAAGAUAAAGGGUUAUUUGUUACUUCUAAAUAGAAAGGUACUUUCAACAAUAAUCUUUAGUCCAAAUAUCAAAUUGAAGAAAUGACUUUUUAUGUGAUUUUAGGUCAAAAAGUUCAUUUACUCUUUGCUACUUAGAGAUAGAUCAUUUGCGCUUAUUGGAUUAAAAUUUUGAUUUUUGACUUUAGAAAUACCAAGUUUCUGGACAUAACAGCUUAUGUGCAUGGCUAUAAGUAAUAUGGAGACACAAUAGGGUGGGGAAAAGUACACAAGGCCCAAAACUAUAGCAACAUAGUUUUCUUUUUUUACCUGAUCGUUAUAUAGUUUUCUUGAUGAACGUUUUUACAAGCACAUUGUCAAAAAUAAAGAGAAAUUUAUUUCCAAAUGUAAUGAGUUUAGUUCAAACCCUAUUUUAUUUCAAAAAGAGAAGAGAUAGUUGGUUGUUUUUUUAUUGCUUCUGUUUUCUUUUGGUUGAAAGUAUCAAGAAUUCAUUUUUAUAGUGUAUUUGUUAUAAGAAUGUGUUUGCUUUCAUAAUUUUUUCUUUAACAUGUUUUUCAGAUAGACACUCAAGGGAAAAAUGUAAUGAGUGCUUCAUCUUCUUGGGUGCCUAAGAAUGAGCUUCUACAGAUUUAAAUAUUCAUUGAUAGUAAUAUGGGAGAAUAAGACCAAAAGACCAAACCCGAUGUUUCUAUUAAGUAAGGUUAAUAUUUACCAUCUCAAGUUUUUCCCAUUUUUAUAAUAUGAGAACAGAUUGAUAAAUUACAUAAAUUUUUCAUAAUUUUGGUAUUUUCUCUAACCAUUUCAUAGGAGAUAAGUUAUUUAUUCAUACUUUUAUGAUUUUAGGGUUUUCUUUCACGAUUUAAAAAGAAACAAUUUGAAAUAAAAGUUUGAUAGAUGAUAUGUGUGUAAACUGUGGUUGUUUUGUGUAUGAAUUUGCAUUCCUGGAUUAGUUUUCUUAAAUUUCUUAUAUUAAUUUCUAAGAAAUAGAAUUUUAUAACGUUAGCAUGUUCAUCCUUCUUUUUUGUGACCUUUUUGGUCAUUUUCUCAUUCUUAUAUAUAUAUAUGAUUCAUAAUUUUGGCAUUCUUAAGCUAAAAAAUACUAAUAUGAAACUUUUAAAAUUAAAAGUUUGAUUUUUUUGAGUUUUUUAGUCAAGAUGACCAUUUUGACCUUUUUGUCCAAUUUGGUCAUUUUUACCGGUUUUAUUUUUUUAAAAUUUUUUUUCGUAAUAUGGUCAUUUUUGCUGAAAAUAGUCAUUUUGAUCAUUUUGCUUAAUCUGAUCAUUUUGACCAUUUCGGUCAAUUUGAUCAUUUUUUAUACAGGGACCAUUAAUGUCUAUUUUGUUAAACAUGGGCUAUUUAUACAAUAUUUUUAUAUACGGACCAUUUUUUUUAAAUUUAUUUAAAUAGGGAUUAUUCCUGUAGUUAAAUAUAUUUAAAACAGGUAAUAAUUACUUUCAUUUUUUAAGUUUAGCAAUGUACUUUUUAUAAUAAAAAGUAUGAUGUUAUAUUAGAGAUAAAACUGAAAUAUGUUGCUAUAUAUUGCAUUUAGCACAUGACCGAUUUGUCGUUUCUAUGAGAUACUAUGCCAAUAACACAAGUUUUUUUUUUUUUUUUUUUUUGGUUAGGUUCCUAAAGAACAUGUACAGAGGAGGAAAAUGACUCAAAUCGAUGUUUGCUUUGGUUAUACACCAAGUCAAGCUACCAUUUUAUAUAAUCUAAAUUAAAUUGAUUUAGACUUUAUUUUUUUUAGAGUAAGUUUAUUAAAAUUUCUUAAAAAAGACAACUCGUAAAUUACAUUCUAUAUGAAUUUUUAAACUUUUGUAGUAAUGGAACUAAAUGAUGCUUCUAUAUAGAUACAAUCCAAAUUAAAGUACUAUGUUAUUUCUUGCAUCUUACUCAACAAUGGGUUAUAAUUAAUUCCACGUUUUUUUCAAUUCUAACUCUUAUUAAAAGUUUAUAGCAUUAUAGUUAAUUUUUCUUAUUGACACAUUAUACUUUAGAAAAUUCACAUAGUUUAGCAUCUUACUUACAUUUAUUUUUAUUACAACAUUAUGGUUUUCUAUUUUUAUUAUGAUCUUCCAUGUGGUUCAAGAUGCUCUUUUGUUGAGGUAGUAUAUAUGAAUAUUACGCAAGGAAAGGAAAAAAUAUUGAUUUUUGUUGUUCCUUUAGCCAAAUUGUUGUUACUGAUGGAACUUUACGCGGCAAGGCUAUUCCCAGAGUUUUCAUUGUGACUACUAAAUAUGUCUGAUAUUUUUUAUAAUAUGAAUUCAAUUACUUAUUUAAUAUUCAUCAUUUCGUUUGUAUUUAUAUAAAAAUAUUUAAUGUUUACAUCUUGAUAUUCAACUGUUUUUAAUCAACCCGUUGGGUCUCACACCUAGUGCAGAAAAAAAAAUCAAAGAACUAUAAACCAUCUACCUUUCUAUUUCAAAAAACUCCUAAAAUUUAACUAGUACAAAACAAUUAAGCAAAAUCUACAAGUAACUAAUGCGUUGUUUUUUAUUGAUGCUCAAAAUUUCCACUCCUGGCUCAAAAAUAACAAAAAGUAACAUCUUUUUGUCUGUUUUUUUUUUUUUCAUAAUAAUAUUAUAUAUUUUAUAGGGACUUACUAUUGUUUUGCGGAGAUGGAAGGAGUGUUUGAGAGUAAACAAACUACACAUUCAUGGGAUUUCAUUGGUCUUGGAGAAGAAAAAACCAAACCUGCGGAAUUUUCCACAAAGGAGCAAGUUAAGUUGAUUGAUGUCAUUUCUGAUUUUGUAACUAACUAACUAACUCUGUUUUUGGUUUUUGAAAUGAUCAACAUCUUUUAUUUUUUUUGUAAUUAGGAUUUUAUGAUGGGAAAGUUUUAGCAAUUCCGACAUGCCACCCCACCGGAAUGGAAAGGAAUAUGGAAACAUUCAACGCCACAAAUUGCAACAGCUUUUCUUCAAUCAGUUCCAUAUGGGUUUUCUUUAGCUUUUAAGUGGAUAAUCCAAUCCCUAAAUGAAUGUUUUUGUUAAAAUUCAUUUGAUUUAUUUUUAAUAUAAUUAAAAAUGAUGCAGAAAGUGGAACAUUUGAGAGCAAAGAAAAAGUUAUUGCUAUGGUAAUUAAUUAUUAAAGUGGAUAAUCCAAUCCCUAAAAAUUGAACUUUCUUCAUGUGCUUCCCUCGAGGUUAAAAUCCCCCACUUCAACAUCUAGUGUGUGUGUGUGUGUGUGUGUUUAAAACUUGAUAGUAAUCCACUUAGACAGGUAAAUUAGACUUUUUAAAGGGAUAAUAUUGGUCAUUUUUCGUAUGUUAUCUCAUUCUCCUUCAUUUUGUAGAUUCCAUCAGAUGGGUUUGAAGCUCUACUAAAUGGUGUCUGUCUGUGUCUGUGCCUCUGUGGUUACACCACACCACACCACACCAAUAUUGCAUUGCAGGUUUGGAAAGAACACUAUUCCUCUUCAUUUUACUACUUUUCCAUCCAAAUCCAAAUCUUGACCUUACCGAUGAAGUAGAUUAAAAACAAAACUGCAAAAAAUGGUCCAUGUCCUAGCAAUAAAUAACAACUGGGUGUGGUAUGUUUAAUAAUUUUUAAAAUUCUUAUCUGACUCGAAACAUUUGAUUACAUUGUUUCAUAGAGUUAUCAAAUGAAUCGAUCUUUCAAAAAAUCAUCUCAAGUUUUGACAAAACUACCUUCCAGAAUCUAAUCUAGAUAAGUGUCCAUGUCCUAUCAACUAAGUUGGGUAUGGUAUGUUUAAUCAUUUUUAAGAUUUUAAUCUGACUCCAAACAUUUGAUUUGAUUUAAUUGUUAAUUGAAUGUAGGUAUUGUUCCACUAAUACAGCCCUUCCACUUGAAUUAUCGGUGAGUUCCUAAUUUCAAUCAGUUUUUAAUGUUUGUGGAUCAAAUGAUCAAUUGAGUUGAGGGGUACUCUUGACCUGUUUUUUUUUUUUUUUAAAUAUAUAUAUGCAAGAACUGAAUUGUUAUGAUAAUAGAAUAUGUUUGUCAAUUAAUUUAAAAGAAAUAAUAGAAAAAGACAAUAUUGACUCAUGUGGUUGAUUUUAGAUUUCUACUUUUAAUAAGUGUAUGAUAUGAACCUCACAUGGCAUGUAUGUAUUCUUCAUUCUUUUUCAGUAAAUAAGAAAGAAGGCUCCUGUUAUGAACUGGAUUCUAAGAACAGAUUCAAUAACAUAAAAAGCAACCAACAGCUUCAAAUAUUGAUUGAUUACAAGAACAAAUGAUAGGUUAGCUGAUUUGAGAUACCUACUCUCCCAAGGAAUAAAUUCCGGAUUUCACAAAAAGAUUGAUCCCUCACUGACCUCUUAUACUUACUAUCUGACCUAACAAACUAAAUAAUAUAAAAUACCUAAGUUGCCCCUGAACUAAUAAGAUUCUCUUUAUUUUAUUGAAUUUCCCAUAUUGCCCUUAUCUAG
RNAcentral lists this long non-coding RNA (6007 nucleotides) under Lactuca sativa (garden lettuce). Its description in RNAcentral is "long non-coding RNA (LSAT_LNC009668)". Lineage: Eukaryota; Viridiplantae; Streptophyta; Magnoliopsida; Asterales; Asteraceae. The record is from RNAcentral.